This 428-nucleotide ribosomal RNA is filed under the name uncultured eukaryote. Its description in RNAcentral is "eukaryotic LSU rRNA". It matches the Rfam family "Eukaryotic large subunit ribosomal RNA", at positions 972 to 1390 of the family's 3401-position model. The record is from RNAcentral.
CUCAGGAUAGCUGGAACUUAUGAGAAAGUAGUUUUAUCAGGUAAAGCGAAUGAUUAGAGGUUUUGGGGAAGAAACUUCCUCGACCUAUUCUCAAACUUUUAAAUAGGUAAGAUUUGAAGGAUACUUAAGUGAUCUUUCAAUCUCUUGAAUAUAAAGUUCUUAGUGGGCCAUUUUUGGUAAGCAGAACUGGCGAUGUGGGAUGAACCGAACGUUAAGUUAAAGUGCCAAAUAAUACGCUCAUGAGAUACCAUAAAAGGUGUUGGUUCAUUUUGACAGCAGGACGGUGGCCAUGGAAGUCGGAACCCGCUAAGGAGUGUGUAACAACUCACCUGCCGAAUGAACUAGCCCUGAAAAUGGAUGGCGCUUAAGCGUACAACUUAUACUUAACCCUUACUUGAAUUAUUAUAGCGAGUAAGGAGUAGGAGGGC